Grammomys surdaster is the source of this 2251-nucleotide long non-coding RNA. RefSeq lists it as uncharacterized. The record is from RefSeq and is a predicted model, not a curated record. NCBI's taxonomy places the organism in Eukaryota, Metazoa, Chordata, Mammalia, Rodentia, Muridae. The transcript has 2 exons.
AAAAAAAUUUUUUUUGAAGUAUAGGUUUUUUUUUACAGAACUGAAAACAUUCUUGUUACUUUCCUUUAGUUUUGAAAGUCUCAUACAUAUAAACACUGUACUGUGAUUAUAUGACCCUCAUUACCCUCUAUUAAAAUGCCUUCCUUUCUAUCUGAACCUUUUGUGAUUCCCAGUGGCUACAACAUGAAAGAAAAUCAUAUCAUCUCCUUCAGUGACAACGAUCAGUGGUUUCUUUGAAAGAGAUGGAGCUUCCCUGGCACCUUCUCUAUUCAUGAUGGAAUGAUGAAGGACUCAAUCUUAUUUAGAUAGAAGCUUCCAGUGGGAAGCCAAGUCAUGUGGUUGAUACGUUCCUGAGUCUUGCCAUCCAAAGCACUUUCUGGAAGGAGCUAUGGAAGCACACUUGGGGUGGAGGAUGCUAGUACAGUGGUUCUCAAAGAGUGGUACCCUGACAGGCAGCAUCAGCACCGCAUGGGGAUUUGUUAGGAAUGGUCCCUACCUGAGACAAACCUGGGUGGAGCAGUAAUCUGUGUUUUAAGAAGAAUAAGAGUGAUUUCCAGAACUUUGAUUCUAGUGAAUUGGCUGUGCUUAUGGGCAUAUAGAGUAUGAAUCACAUAGUGGUUGGGGAUUGAGGGGAAUUGGUCAGUCUUUGCUUAUUGAGAAAAGAGGAAAUGAUUUUUUAAGAGGCAGACUUUAGGUAGGUGUCACAGUGCUUGUCUGUAAUCCCAGCACUUGGGAGAUAAAGGCAAGAGAAUCAGCAAUUCAAAGAUAGUCUUCACGAUAUAGUGAAUUAAACGUCAGCCUGGGCUAUAUUAGACAGUCCUCUCCUAAUGGCUCAAGUGCAUGUAUGUCUGUGUGCCUCUGUGUGUGUGUGUUUCAUGAAUUGUUGGUCAGUGUUUGGGUAUGUGUGCAUGUGUGCAUAUAUGUAUGAGGGCCAGAGACGUCUAUCAGUUAUCUUCUUCUUUCAUGCUCCACCUUAGGUUCUUUAGGACAGAUUCUUUCAUUGAUUCUGAAACCUGUUGAUUCAGCUAGAGAGGCUGAUCACUAAGUACCGGGAAUCUCCCUGUCUUAGGCUUCUCACCUCCAGCAGUGGGACUAUAGAUGAACACAGCUAUACCUGAUUCUAGGUCUCUAAAGUCAGGUCUUCAGGCUUGCAAGACAAACACUGUCAAUGCUAUUCCCUCAGCUUCAAAGCCCUAUCUAAAAAAUGUAACAUAUAUUUUAUAAAGCAUUAAUAUUUGACUUAAUAGAAAACAUGUAAUAAAAGGCUGGGCUUUCAUUUGUAAACUAAUUGCUUGCACCAAUCUCCAAGAGGGGUAAUCAGGAUGAGCAGGUUAUUAUAACAUACACUAUGACAUGGUUCUGAAAUUCUAGAAUAAUUGUUCUAUUAAGAGAACACAUUCCUUUCCAUAAUAGGACAGAAAUUUAACACAGCUUUAUAAAAUCACAUGCUAUUCUUAUAUUAGGCUGACUUAGCCAACUGCAUCUGUCUCCUGAGAUCCCAGUUUCUACAUCUGAAGACCAUAUGUAUUGUCAUUCUGCAUGACUUAUCCCAUUGGAAUGUGACAAGGGAUUCAGUGUGUGUGAGACACUGUGAAGUACUGUGAAUACCAAGACAUGAAAGCCACAAAGAUGGAGGAUGGUUGAUUAGACACUGUUGCUGAGAGAGUAGUUAGAACUUGACACAAAAAUUAUGUGCUUAUUCUAAUUUCUCUGUCAUCUAUAUGACUUUUGGUUUUGAUUUGGUCAUGUGUUACUUAAAAUUUUUUAACCUAAUUUUAUGAACUUCAAAUUUUCAUUUCUCUAUCAAAAUAACGCUAGUGAAAGAUAUGCACAGAAUUAUUGUGAAAAUAAAAGUAGGUAAGUUGAGAAGGCAGAUUUUUAUUUUAAUAUUUUUAUUUACUUAUACAUCCCAACUGCAGUUUUCUUUCCUCCUCCCUGUCCCCUCCGUCCAUGUCCCCUCUCCCCCUCCUCAGUUUUAUAAAACACAGACAUUACCAUUUUUAGAUGCCAUCCUUGGGAUCUUUGUUAUUUGAUGUGUGGGUUGAAGAGGGUUCAUGAAUGUUGACAUAAUGAUAUCACCAGGAGUCGGGAGUAAGUCUGCAGCUCAGCAGAUUUUAUGAUUACUAAGAUUAUCUGUGUUUAUUUGUAUAUUAAUUCAGCUUUAAUGGACUGUUUCAAUUUUCUCAUGAAAUGGGGGAUAUCCACAUUUGUUUCAUUAAAUAAAGUGAGUCUGAAAUUUGUAUUGUUUCAA